This is a long non-coding RNA of Bombus impatiens (common eastern bumble bee), 3685 nucleotides long. RefSeq lists it as uncharacterized. Lineage: Eukaryota; Metazoa; Arthropoda; Insecta; Hymenoptera; Apidae. The transcript is spliced from 3 exons. The record is from RefSeq and is a predicted model, not a curated record.
UAAAGUUUGAUAUUAUUGUUCGAACGAAAUUUUGUCUGAACCUAAUCUCAACUGAUCGAACCACGUAUCAACGAACCAAAUACCGAGAAAAUUCUUCGAGUGAUUCAAAGAAGAUUCUACGCAGAGUCAUCUGACGUGAAUUCCUAACCUGAACCAAUUUGUCAUCGGCCAGCGAAAGAGCGCGAGCACCACGGUAUCACAGAUCAGCUGUCAGCAAAAGCAUUAUCCUCAUCGGCAAUCCAACCACCUAAACAGCCGGUCGAGUGGACGAGAACGACAAAGAAGAGCAAUCCGUGACACUUUGUUCAGUGGGUCUUCAGACACAGUCGGUCGGAGAAAUCUUACCGGGACAAAGGAACGUGUCGAUCUCGGCCGCGAGAAAAAGAACUGGUCUCGCGGAGCAUUCGUGGUUCUCGAGUCGAGUGGCUGAGCCGAUUAAAAUUAGCACGAGCCUCCCAUUGUUCCCUUGCACGGGCCUCGAAUAAGUACAAUGCACCCUGUUUGUUCACCUGCACGUGCUGUCCCGCAGUUCCGUACCUCCUCUCGUACGAUCCGCGCCAGAUCGGCUGCCGUUAAUAAGACGCCAUAUUGGAAACUGGUAAUUGAUUCUUCGAUGUGAGUAGACAAAAGGAAAAAGUGUUGUUCUCAGCAGUUAAUGCAUAUCGAUCUCUUAAUUUGAUGGUCGGAAUUACAAGUGUAUUGCGAUGAAACGAAUAUUGGUCGAUACCAAUAUCAUUGGCUAUCGAUGGCUAUUAAACGGGCAUUUUGAGGUUAAAAUAUUCAAGCGGAGGAUAUUAGAUGGGAGAUUUGUAUAUUGUUGUGGCAUUUCGCAAAAUUGAAAUUAACGAUGGUGUCAAAUUAUCAAGCCAAUUGCUCUUCUAGUAAUACUCUCUCAUAAAGCAUCAUAACUUUAUGAUAAUUCCAUUAGAAAACUAGCACGACUGUUUCCACAUUUUUACAGAAAGUAACCUAUCCUAGGUAACCUAACCAAAAUCAACCGAACCAUCGUCAUCGUCGUCAAACACUAACAUUCGACUCGAAGUUUGAAUUAGAAGAUAGCAACGAGGUUAUACGAGGGUAAAAGAAGCGAGAGAAAAAUUUUUGAAAUCAGCCGUGGCAGAAGAUAAGGGACACAGAAUCCUUUGUCGUCGAGCGAGACUCGGAAGACACGUGAGACAGACUUUCGCUCUGACUCGUAUCCUGAAGGUAGCUACACAUAAGAGCCGAGCUUUUCUCCGGUCAGUCAUUUCCCGGAAAAGGGAUGAAUUAUGGAGGGAUAGGCGGCGAACGGUCGUGAAACGAGCGAGGUAGUCAAAGGCACGUAAAUUUGCGAUCGCCUUCUCUCGUGAAAAUAACUUCGACACACGCGCGCUUCUAGAAACGCUCGCUUCAGCGAGUUCGAAUGCCUCGACGCGCAUCUGUCGAUACUCGAAUUCGCGAGAAAGUACGAUCGCAACUUUUCAAACGUAGAUACGUCAGAAAUGAUGAGAAAUAUGGGGAAAAUGGGGCAGAUUUGAAAGGACAAAUUUUCCUCGGUGAAUAGUAGAAAUUAUAUAGGGUGUCUUUGACACGUGUAGCUAUCUGUCGAUAUUUGAGCUGCGAUCAGAUUACAACCGAAGCUCUUCUAACGUACGUCUGUAUGGCAAACGAUGACAAAUACGACUGUGAAGUGGAAGAACGAUAAGGACGAUGAGUAGUCAAAAUCGAGAAAAAAAGGCGAAUGAUAAAUUGACAAAAAAUUGAUGAAAAUGCUAAAGAAUGACAAAAGCUACGAGAACGAUAUGGAAGAUAAGAAUGGUGGAGGGAAACAAAUUUACUAUAAAAGACGUGGAAACAUGGCGGAAUUUAUGGCGCGAGAUGCAAAUUUGUCCGGUAUGGUCUUAACUCAGAUUAAACUCUAAGUCUCAGUCAUCCUACGUCUAACGUGACUAAUAAAAAUCCAAACCCAACUAAAUGUCCCUAUGAAACUUCAAGCUCGACAGUAAACAGGAUUUGUGAAUGGGAAAACAGAGACAGAGGAAACACAAUGGAGGAGGAAAUCUGUUCUUCUUUUUUCUCUUGAUAAGUGGGAGGCAGAGGCGUGAAGUAUACAGCCCCAUUCAAUGACAUUGGUUUGCAUACGCCUUUGAAACCCUUUUUUGCAUCUACCUUUCCAUCGAAUUCGUCGUCCUCGGCGAGAAGAUUGGCCUGAUUCAAGCGUUCCACACGAGCAUUCGCUAAAUUCCACAAUACGACGUGUCCUGAUCCUUCGACUGGCACGCCAAGGAUGACUGAAUACCUAAAUGUAGGCUGAUCCGCACUCCAUUACCUCCUAAAAUAGCAGCCUCUGUGACGUUGCCAACUUUUUGCCGCAACGAGCAUUUAGGCUUCACGUGAAUCUGAAUAAUUGUCUGCCAACCUGAAUAUCGAUAGCAAAGGGCGAUCAAUGAUAUAGUAGUUGAUCCUUGCUUAUAGCCUAGUAUUAAUAUUCUUUGUAAAAAUAUUCCAGACAAUUUGUAAAACUUAGACUACCGAUCUGUUAGCUGAUGAGAGCUACUGGUAAACGUCUUCGGUAACAAAGAUGGUGCUAUAGUCAUGCUCGUAGAACACGAGAAUUGGCCACGUAGUCAGGAAGAUUAUAGAUUGAGGGAAGGUCGUUUAACCGGUGCUUUCACCACCAGGGGAUCGAUAUCGUGGCCGAGUCUUGCUGAAAUUUUCAGCAAGACACGUCCUAAUGGACCUGUCAGCGGCCACCAGAUACCAGUGUCUAUGGAACAGGCUAGAUAUCGAUAAUUGCCCGCUUCGAUCCAUCCUAGCAAUUUCCUUUGCAUUAGGCUUCUACCCUAGCCUCGAUCACUUUGUCAAGACGAUGAAGGAAGCUUGUGUUUUUUUAUCUAUCAGAGAUUUAGAGGCUAAUUUAAAGAAGAUGUUGCAUGAAAGAGAGCGAUAAAGAAGAAGAGAAGGUACUUAAAUUUAGAUUUCUUAUCUGAGCGACAGGAUUUCAACUUUAUUAGCCACGUAGAGAGAAUUUUACAGACAAUUGUGCUCUGUACAAAAUGAUUUUGACACGAAUUUUUAGAUUAAUACAUCCAGCGGGAUGGUAUAUCUUCCUUUUUCAUUUUCUUCUUCAUGUUUCUGUUUUUUUUUUUUUUUUGUUUUCUAGCGGAACGUUGAAUCGGAAAUGGUCCUUCAAAUAUUCAAAAAGUAUGCCCGAUUGAUAUGGAGCUGCGAUUAAACGAUAAAAGUUGCUGCAGUUCUUUGAAAACGAUUCAAUUUAGCCUGCACUUCUGCAGGUUAAAAUAUUUAAGGCUAUUUCGAUUCCUAGCAAUUUCUCCAUGUAACGUAACGUUCUCCAUGUAAUGUAACCAGUAGUUAAAUAGAAAUCUCAUUGGAGUGAGAAAAUUACUUGGUGUAUCUUCAGAAAUCAAAGAAUAUCGCCCCAAUUGUAGCAACCAAACAAAGAUCUGUCGAUUAUCUUGAUUAAUCAAAGUGGAGGUUAAAAUAUUUUUCAAAUAUUUUUUAUCUGGAAGGGCAAAUCAUUAGAAUUGUUUCUCUAACUCUCGAGCACUCAAAAUUCUUCUAGAAAUUGAGAAAUUAUGCUGACCCAAAGUUGAGAAACCUCUGUCAACAAUGAGAUCAAAAAAUGUUUCUUCAACUGGCAACAUCGUUUCAAGUGGCUUGCCUAUCUUGUCCAAAAUUGCUAUCA